UCUGCUUAGUAUAUUUUGUUCUGGAAUAUUAGGCGGCGUGGGUUGCAGGACAAUAUGCCCAUAUCAACUUUUUGGACCCAAACAAUUUUCCUAAAGCAUUGCAUAGUGUUGUUGCGGGGAUGCGUGACCCAGAGCUUCCAGUUCGUGUUGAUUCAGUCUUUGCAUUGCGUUCAUUUGUUGAAGCUUGCAAAGAUUUGAGUGAAAUCCGACCAAUUCUUCCACAGCUUCUUGAUGAGUUUUUUAAACUUAUGAAUGAAGUUGAAAAU
Camellia sinensis is the source of this 266-nucleotide non-coding RNA. The record is from RefSeq and is a predicted model, not a curated record. NCBI's taxonomy places the organism in Eukaryota, Viridiplantae, Streptophyta, Magnoliopsida, Ericales, Theaceae.